AACUGCUCACUUAUUCCUCUUUUACAGUGAAUUUAUGUUGUGUGGGGGUUUUUUGUUUUGUUUUUUUAUGAGGACUUAGUCUCCGAGGGCCAUUGGAAAUGGAUCUAAUUUUGCUUUCAAGCCAAAAGGUGCUCUCCUCCCUUUGCCUGUCGAUUUGAAUUGGUGGAGUCUAGGCUUGGGUCCGUGCACAAAGCCUUGGGUGCUUCAGUCCUUAGCAUCGGGAGCUGCUGAACAGUAACAUAAAAGUCUUUAUUAAAAACCUCCGUCGGGACACGAAUGUGCAUAACAAAUGCAAGUCCCCGCACACUAGACUUACCCUGGGUUGAGGUGAAAGGCAUUAGUUGGUUAUUUUUACACUGUAACAAGGGACCAUUCAGCAGAUCUCUUCACCCUAGUACAACAUAUUUCAGAGGGCGGGCAAGUGCCAAUUGGCAUCUCUUCAGUAGCUGGCCCACAAACCAGGGCCCAAGACAGGUGAAUUAACUUGGCAGAGGAAAAAUGGUGAGGGCACCAGAUCCUUUCCCCAUCCUGCUUCAACCCCAGGGCUAUUUUUUGGGGUCUUAAAAAAUGCAGACCUCCAAGACCCCUUCUUAUCCUCCCACCAGUGCCUGUCUCCAGAUGUGGUUGGAGAGCAAGUGCCGAUCCUAACAAGCUGGAACAGUUUCCCCCCUUCCCCCGGUCAUGUUCAUAACACUUUGGAAUUAAUGAUGCAUUCAGGAGUAACAACAUAACAUUCAAAUCCGCUUUUAUUGGAUCCAUUGGGUACCAUAUAGUCUUAGCGCCGCUCAUCGGGUACUGGAUGAAAAUAUUGGCUGAUUCUCAGUAUUGGGUACCCAAGGGAAAUGUCAGCUUUAUGAAAAGUAGACUGUAUUGUGGCUGGAUUACUGUAUUUUCUUGCAUACAACAUGCCUGGUAAUAUAAUAUGCACUUUGUUUUUGAAAGUCAGAAUUAAUUAAAAAUAACCAACCAACCCUUUUGUUCUAGUAAGUAACUGAGUAGCAGCGGUUAGGGAGCAGAGCCAGCUUCAUGUUGUGCUCUUGUGAAUCCUGCGCAGAUUUGAUUUUACUUUCACUUUUGCCCGCAAUCGGCAGAAAGUGUUUACCGUAUUUAUUGUAUAUAAUGCAUAUACUGCAAUUUCCAGCAGCUGGUUUUUUUGGGGGGGAGGGGAAGGGGCAUGUUAUAUGUAC
Molecule: long non-coding RNA, 1187 nt
Organism: Gavialis gangeticus (Gharial)
Lineage: Eukaryota; Metazoa; Chordata; Crocodylia; Gavialidae
Exons: 2
Source: RefSeq, a predicted model, not a curated record